Pangasius djambal is the source of this 72-nucleotide non-coding RNA. NCBI's taxonomy places the organism in Eukaryota, Metazoa, Chordata, Actinopteri, Siluriformes, Pangasiidae. The record is from the annotation of a GenBank genome assembly.
UCCCCGGAGGACUGGCGGUUAGGCCGCAACGCUCUCGCCGCUGCGACCCAGGUUCGAUUCCCGGCCAAGGAA